This 2028-nucleotide long non-coding RNA is filed under the name Sus scrofa (pig). RNAcentral's name for it is "lncRNA (ENSSSCG00000055367.1)". Lineage: Eukaryota; Metazoa; Chordata; Mammalia; Artiodactyla; Suidae. The record is from RNAcentral.
GGCCCUACUUGCAGCAUAUGGAAGUUCCCUGGCCACGGUUCAAAUCAGAGCUGCAGCGGCUGGCCACAGCCACAGCCACUGCAACAGCAACAGAGGAUCUGAGCCACAUCUACAACCAAAGCCACAGCUUGCCACACCAAAUCCUUAAUCCACCGAGUGAAGCCAAGGAUCAAACCUGUGUCCUCAUGGAGACUAGCUGGGUUCUUAACCUGCUGAGCCACAGUGGGAACUCUGAAAUACAACAAAUAGUUACAUUAAUAAAAUAAGCAGAGUGCAAAUGAAUGUCAACUUAUAUUUGAAAUCAGUGGGUAAUUAUUCUAAGAAGGUUUUGUUUGUUUUUUUAUUUGUUUUUAAAUAAGACAGUUGUGGAGUUGCAGUCAUGACUCAGCAGGGUGGAGCCCUUGAAUGGGAUUAGUGCCCUUAGAAGAGUCCUGAGAGAGUUUACUUCCUCUCUCUGCCAUGUGAAGAUGCAAUGAGAUUUAAAACUGGCCAUCUGAUGGCAGGGUGAAGUGGGGUAGGUGGGAGACUAGUGGGAUUAAGACAUAAGAAUCCAGGAGUUCCCAGAGUGGUGCAGUGGUUAACAAAUCCAACUAGGAACCAUGAGGUUGCAGGUUCAAUCCCUGGCCUUGCUCAGUGGGUUAAGAAUCUGGUGUUGCUGUGAGCUGUGGUGUAUGUCACAGACGUGGCUCGGAUCCUGCAUUGCUGUGGCUCUGGUGUAGGCCACCACAGAAACGCCAGAUCCGAGCCGCAUCUGCGACCUACACAAUGCUGGAUCCUUAACCCACUGAAGGAGGCCAGGGAUCGAACCUGCUUCCUCAUGGAUACUAGUCAGAUUCGUUUCCACUGAGCCACGAUGGGAACUCCCUAACCUUACAUUUUUAAUCCAUAUUGUCUUCAGGUGUGUAUAAAGAUUUCCAAAGAAAGAUUUGGUGAAGUAACUUCCAGAGUUGCUCAUAUAUGUUACUCAUGAUAUUUUUCUCGCAUAGGAAGACUAAUACAUUAAGCUUGUCUACAUUUCAAUGUUAUAUGUUUUACUCAUUCACUUAGUUUGCUGGUGAUUUCAGUGUCACAUGGCAGCCAGAGAAAGGACAUGGAAAACAUUUAGAUGCAGGACUUGGGGUUUUAACUUCAAACGCCCACACCCAAUGCUUCUGGCGAGAAAUAACAAAAUAUUUGCCUCUGAGAUAGCGAACCUCGCCUCCAUACACAAUCGACGACACAUUCCGUUGGCAAGCUUCACGCAAUGCCCUCUCCCCUAAAGAGGAUGGAAGCCGUUCUCACAAGAUGAGAAGCUCCAGGAACACACACCAUGCUCCAAAAACUUAGAUCGUCUUAGACGAUUGUUCAUCGAAUUUAAGGGUAAAUGUCAAGAGACAUGUUUUGCUAAGAGUUAAAAUUUCAACAUAGACCAACUCCGGCGGGCAUGAGGCUUUUAUCUGCACAGAACCCUCUCCCAGCCCCCAGGAUCCCAUGCCCAGAGGAAGAAUAGACACCUUGGUUUGUCACCCCAGGGUGACAGAGUUGUGUGUCUUCUUUUGUCUUUCCAAGUCAUUUCUUUCCUCCAAGGACUCUGCAUGCUUUAUGUACAGAACCAACCCAUGGCUUUGCUGACAUAUUUUGCCCAAGUUGGCAUUAUACACUUGUGCCAAUCACCAGUGAAAGGUGAUUACUUAUUCAGGAGAGAGGAGCUUUGAAGAAUAGUGGGACACGGUUCCAUCUAAAUGACACAUUUUAUCUGUUUUUCAAAUCAUUCAUGGAAAAUACUGACAUAAAGUGCCAAUUAUUUUUUCCCAUGAAUAGGGCUGGCAGUCUUAUUGUAUACUUUAAAAGUCACUUACAAUUUGCUCACAUUUUUUUUAAUUCCCCAGGGAAAAGGAUGUCUUUUCUUGGCUCUAAAGAUUAAAGUUCAAUUUGACUUCCUAUUUUCUGAAAGGGACUCAAAGACACUGCAGUCUUAGCUCCUCCUAGAUAGCGCUACAAGCUGUAAAUUUGGUGAUUGAUGUCUACUAGGUUUGGCCUGGAGAGGCU